GUCGAACGGAAAUGACACGCUGAUGCGAUUUCGGUCAAAUCUUGUGGCAUUUCAGUGGCGGACGGGUGAGUAACGCGUGGGUAACCUGCCUUACACAGGGGGAUAACACCUGGAAACAGGUGCUAAUACCGCAUAAGCGCACAGGGCCGCAUGGCCCGGUGUGAAAAACUCCGGUGGUGUAAGAUGGACCCGCGUCUGAUUAGCUUGUUGGCGGGGUAGAGGCCCACCAAGGCGACGAUCAGUAGCCGGCCUGAGAGGGUGGACGGCCACAUUGGGACUGAGACACGGCCCAAACUCCUACGGGAGGCAGCAGUGGGGGAUAUUGGACAAUGGGGGAAACCCUGAUCCAGCGACGCCGCGUGAGUGAAGAAGUAUUUCGGUAUGUAAAGCUCUGUCAGCAGGGAAGAAAGAAAUGACGGUACCUGACCAAGAAGCCCCGGCUAACUACGUGCCAGCAGCCGCGGUAAUACGUAGGGGGCAAGCGUUAUCCGGAAUUACUGGGUGUAAAGGGAGCGUAGACGGUGAUGCAGGUCUGGAGUGAAAGGCGGGGGCCCAACCCCCGGACUGCUCUGGAAACUGUAUGACUUGAGUGCAGGAGAGGUAAGCGGAAUUCCUAGUGUAGCGGUGAAAUGCGUAGAUAUUAGGAGGAACACCAGUGGCGAAGGCGGCUUACUGGACUGUAACUGA
RNAcentral lists this ribosomal RNA (687 nucleotides) under uncultured bacterium. RNAcentral describes it as "bacterial SSU rRNA". It matches the Rfam family "Bacterial small subunit ribosomal RNA", at positions 61 to 743 of the family's 1533-position model. The record is from RNAcentral.